CUAAGAAUAUUCCGCAAUGGACGAAAGUCUGACGGAGCGACGCCGCGUGGAUGAAGAAGGCCGAAAGGUUGUAAAGUUCUUUUGUUGGGGAAGAAUAACCAUGGGAGGGAAUGCCCGUGGGAUGACAUGAACCGACGAAUAAGCCCCGGCUAACUACGUGCCAGCAGCCGCGGUAACACGUAGGGGGCGAGCGUUGUUCGGAAUUACUGGGCGUAAAGGGCAUGUAGGCGGCUUUGUAAGCUUGGCGUGAAAGUCCAUGGCUCAACCAUGGGAUUGCGUUGAGAACUGCGAGGCUUGAGUGACGGAGAGGGAGCUAGAAUUCCUGGUGUAGGGGUGGAAUCUGUAGAGAUCAGGAAGAAUACCAAUGGCGAAGGCAAGCUCCUGGCCGAUGACUGACGCUGAGGUGCGAAAGUGUGGGGAUCAAACAG
Molecule: ribosomal RNA, 428 nt
Filed under: uncultured bacterium
Lineage: Bacteria
Description: bacterial SSU rRNA
Rfam family: Bacterial small subunit ribosomal RNA
Source: RNAcentral